CACACACAUAUGGCAAUUCUCGCCCUGUUUAGAUAGGUACUCCAGCGGCGGCGGCGGCGGGCAAGCAAAGGUAGUUGCGCAUAUUCGAACAAAUCCCUAGAUUCGCGCCAAACGUUGUGAUUGGCUAAUGCACUUUUUUACGUUUUUGGCGGUAAAGAGAGCUUGGGUGACUCACCGCCAGGGGUGCCCGCGUCAACAGUCACAUGACCCGCCCUCCUUGCCCCUCUCUCGGCUACAGAUCAAGCGUUAUCAGUCUUAUCAGUUAUCAACAGAACUGUACAGAACGGAGGUGUCCUUAUCUUUCCAAAGUAGUGAUGCCGAAAAUUCCGCCGGAAAGUUCGGUGCUCGGCUCUUGAAAUGAACAUCUUUUCUCCGCUGUACUGUUGUAACAUUUGAUACAAUUCUUUGAAUACGUCUUCUUUCCCUGUAUCACAAUUCCAAUGCGAAAUUGCGUGAAGUGCUGAUGUUCUCAUCCACCCGUCUAUAGUUUCUAUUCUUGGAUUUCGUAAAAUAGCAGUUUCCUGAUUUCUUUACUGAUCCCGAUUACACCUUUAUUUUUUAAGCCGUUUAGAAAAUAGAGUGACUCGUUCUGUCUUUCUUUGAAACAUUGUGUAAAGAUAUAUUUUGAGGUUAAGUCUUAUCAGACUGCAGGUUAGCACAUGUUUUAUGUACCCACCCAUCAGAUGCAACAGGUUCAAUUCAGUCACGUUUGCGGAUUUUGAGGAUCUCCCCACCUUGAGCACAUUUAUUUCAAGAAUACUUCUGGUGGCCGAAACGUUACGCAUUUGAUCUCUCGAUUGGCUCAGGAACGCAAUUCGGUUCAAUGAAGUGUCGUCGUUCAACCACGUCGGCGGGUACAAUUGGACGAAAGCGGUGGGAAGAAAGGCAACAGCAUUUACCAAGAAGUACCUGCAAUCGCACCAUGUACCUGCAAGGACUUAUCUUUACUGCAGACACUCCGAUCACCAGGACUUUUUCAAACCUCCUAUCCUGCCCUCCAGAUGUCGCGCCUACAUCUUAUCUUCUCUUGCCAAGCGCCGGAGAAGAAAUGGAAGAAAAAAAGGAAAGGAAAAAGCGAUCCUUGGUACCUACGCAUGCGGAGAGGGUAAAGCCGUUACUACAGCCUAAUGUCGCCAUCCUCAAUGAAACGAAUGCACCGUAUCUAUCUGAAAUAGAUCAGAUCAAAGUCUACGAAAUUUUUGUGAAUUUGGGGACAAGUGAUUCAUCCUCGUCUCCUCCAGAAGAGAUAUUUUGUUGUCCUAUCACACCUAGGCCCUGCAAGAAAUUAUUAGAACGAUACUUUAUUGUGCCUAUCGGGCGUGCUUAUUGCAACUUCUUGAUGAGUCUUGAGUUUCCGUACAAAUUCAAACCUGCGGUUGAUGACGGCAACUUGCAUUUGCUGGAGGGUCUUCUAAGCCGCAAGCUCGAUAUUCCUUGCAUUUUAGGAGAAGGCGUGAGUUUUUCUUUAUUGCACCUGGCCGCCAAGGGAUGCUGCAUUGUGCUUCUCAGAGCAUUGCUGCAACACGGAGCGAACGUUCAUACCAAGACCCCUGUUACAAAAUUCGCCAGUCGUGGAGAGACCCCUCUGCAUUGUGCUGCAAUGGGAGGGUCCUCUGAGAUAGUACAGCUUCUCUGCGAAAGGGGCGCGGACGUAGACGCAAACAAUGCGAAUGGUUUUACCCCACUUUUCUUUGCACAGCACCCUGACGUGGCUAACGUGCUCUUGGAAAAUCACGCAAAUCCUCGCGCGGUUUGCGGCAUACAUCCGCUGAUAAAGGAGAAAAUUUUUUUUACACAUCACGUUACCAGGGAAUUGUUUCGAGUAUUUUUCAAGUAUGGAAUACGGUAUUUUGAUGAUUGCAAGUGGAGAGAUAGAAUCUGGGAGUUUGUUAGUUGGACCUAUGAUAACAACGAGCUAUUUUCAUGUAUGCUUGAAAGCUGUUUUAUUGGUCCAAAUCUUCUAAAGAAAUUAUUUUCGUAUGCCGAGAAAAAUAACGGACUAGAAAGUUGGACAGUCUUAGACUUGCGCAGGUAUGCGUCUAAAAUAGCAGCCCUUUUCCAGAACCCCCAGUUCGACGAAUUUGUGAGUUCUAAGUACACAAGUGAUGCUGGUCGCGCCUUGUCGUUGUUGGCUGGCAGAGACGUCAAUAAUGCACUCCAAGAAGGUAUCGAAGUAAAAUUAGCUUGUGAUGAAGAAGUUGCUCGCAUGAAGUGUCACAUUUUCCUUGCUUCAACAAUGUCAGUUUUUGACCUACUGAUGAAGAACGUACUGGAAAUCGCCCGCCUGCUCAGAAACGAAGCUUUUGCUUCCAUGGUCCACUCCUUCGAGUGGAAUGAAUUUAAUAAUCAAUUUCCCUUGUAUUGUACAAUCUUCAGGUAUCACCUGGAGAAUGGCAGCCAUCGAAAACAGUUUCAGGAAGAAGCCCGGAAAAUUUUAGAUUCCCUAUCGCUCCGCUUUAAGCGGUUGCCCAGUGAAAUUCAGGAGUAUAUACUCGACUUUCUACGCAUGAGAGAUCUUGUCAACAUUAAGAGAAUUCUAGGACUUCCAAGUGACUCUUGA
RNAcentral lists this long non-coding RNA (2560 nucleotides) under Bemisia tabaci. RNAcentral's name for it is "lncRNA ENSSSA1NGG012151". The record is from RNAcentral. Lineage: Eukaryota; Metazoa; Arthropoda; Insecta; Hemiptera; Aleyrodidae.